RNAcentral lists this long non-coding RNA (707 nucleotides) under Daucus carota (carrot). RNAcentral's name for it is "long non-coding RNA (DCAR_LNC006987)". Lineage: Eukaryota; Viridiplantae; Streptophyta; Magnoliopsida; Apiales; Apiaceae. The record is from RNAcentral.
CCCAUCUUCAAUAUUUGCAGUAACAUCAUCCAAACAAUUUGCAAGAAGUUUGUAAACACUCAAAUUCCAUGCAGAAGGCCACGAAAAGAAUAAACAGAUAUGUAAAGGAAAUUGUAUUCCCUGUCUAGGUACUCCGGAAAAGAAGAGAUUGACUAGGAGUUUUAAAUAAAUACCAAACAAAAGACACUGUCCUCCAAAAUGAUGAGCAGGAGCCAACAUUUGUUAUAAUCUAAGAUUAAGAAUCAGGAAGCAGCAAAGCCUGAACAUAAGUUGAUCGAUAAUCUUCAGGUAGACUAAAAAAGUAGUCGGUCUCUAAAGGAUCAAGGGCAAUUUUCCUCCCUGCCUUUAUAAAUUGGUCUGGACUUAGCCCUUCAAUCUUCAAAAGCUCAGAGUUUACCAUCAUCCUUUUAUUAGCACCAUCUGAUUCGUGUUGGAAGCAACUAGUUAGUUUUGCGAUAUUUUCAUAUUCAGUUUCCAUAACAUUGCUGAUUUUCUGUAGCCCAAAUGUGAGUUCUUUAACAAUUUCCAGUGAAUCUGUUUUGAUUCUUUUACUCCCACGGGCACCUGUAUCUGUAGGCUGCACAUUUCUAGGACUCACCUCAUCUUCAAGAUUAUCUUUUUGUUGUCCAGCUUGUUGAUACAAAUUACUUUCCUCGUCAUUAGCAAUUUCUUCCACUGCAUCAGCUGGACUUUCGACACCUUCCCCG